AGCAACAAUCGAACCGAAACCGUGAACCUCAAGCGAUACUCACCACUUCAAUCGAACUCCAUAGCAACAAGGAAUUUCCAGCAGAACUAGUAUAAAACAAAAACAAGAAAUCCUCGUACUAAAACGACUUCAACAAACCCCACAAUGAGAAAUCAAGGAAGAAUUAAAGUCUUUUAUGCGUUUGAUACGCAGAAUCGAAAAAAUGAAAACUAAAAAGGAAUUGAAAUCUCUGUGUAUAUAUAUGUGUGUAUGUAUGUGUGUGUAUAUAUAUAUAUAUAGAAAUAAUUUAGCGCCUAAGCAAAACUGAAAAUCCAAUUAACCUCUAUUUCGUCCCUCCCCUCUCAAUUCUUGCAUUUUUGUGUAUUUUCUGAUUUCAAAAUGGAAAACGAACUAGAGCCAAGAAUUGAGCUUGAGCCUUUUUGUUUAUUUUGUUCCGGAUUUGUG
This 444-nucleotide long non-coding RNA is filed under the name Nicotiana benthamiana. RNAcentral describes it as "long non-coding RNA (NBEN_LNC035124)". Lineage: Eukaryota; Viridiplantae; Streptophyta; Magnoliopsida; Solanales; Solanaceae. The record is from RNAcentral.